AAACCAGUAAUGAAUUUGAGAAUUUGCUCCCCUUUAUUAAUGAAUAGCAGUAAUAUAUAUACUGCAGAAAAAUAACAACUUCCCUACAAAUAAGGAUGAAAGCAAAACAAAUAAGUAGUGCUAAAUCAACAAAAUCAAAUAACAGAAUCAAAGUAGAAUCAAAUAACAGCUAUUUUAGGCAAGUCAAGCAAGCCGCAGCAGUAACUCAGUCAAGAUAUUUGGAAUUGAUCUUCGGCAACCGACUGGAUCUUCUUGGUCUAUCAUUACCUCCCCCUCGGACAGCAACCUUGUCCUCAAGGUUAAUGGUAGGAAAACGUACUGUGAAGGACUGAGAAUCUUCCCAUGUAGCAUCUUCCUCUUGAAGCUUUUUCCAUUUGACCAGAAGUUGUUCAACAAUUUUGGAUCCUUUUUUAACCCAACGGGUAUCAAGAACAGAUUUAGGUUCCAAGAGCAAUUCGCCAUCAUUAGUCACAGGUGGCAUUUCAUUGCUGGAAAGAGCAGCUUCUCCAAUCUUCUUUUUUAAGAGAGAUACGUGAAAAACUGGAUGAAUGCGAGAACCAGGGGGAAGCUGAAGCUUGUAAGCGACUGGUCCU
This 593-nucleotide long non-coding RNA is filed under the name Manihot esculenta (cassava). RNAcentral's name for it is "long non-coding RNA (MESC_LNC000288)". Lineage: Eukaryota; Viridiplantae; Streptophyta; Magnoliopsida; Malpighiales; Euphorbiaceae. The record is from RNAcentral.